GCACAGGUCUAGAAGCUUCACAAUGGUAUCCAAGUUAAUCCUCCCAGCACCGGUAUGAGGGUGAUGUCAAUAUCCUUUUUCUAUAAAGAAGCCUCUGCAGCUCAGAGCAGGGGAUGAGCUGAUGAUAUUUCCCCAACUUGAUGGCGUUUUAUCGGCCACUGGCAAGGAUGGCUGGGGAGGCUCUGCAGCAACGCGGAGCACGGCUACGAGAAGAGGUUAAUUAAGGAAAUCAGGCUGCAAACCAUGUGCCCCGAGACGAGCUGCGUAAACUGUGCAUAUAAAACACUGGAACUCAAUGUACCACCAUUCUACUUGUGUCAAGAGGAUGAGAUUAUGGUAGUCUUCAUAUUUAUAUACAAUUUAACAAAGCCUGGGGCUUCCCUGGUGGCGCAGUGGUUAAGAAUCCACCUGCCAAUGCAGGGGACACAGGUUUGAGCCCUGGCCAGGAAGAUCCCACAUGCCGCGGAGCAACUGAACCCGUGCACCACAACUACUGAGCCUGCGUGCCACAGCUACUGAAGCCCGCGCACCUAGAGCCCGUGCUCCGCAACAAGAGAAGCCACCACAAUGAGAAGCCCGCGCACCCCAACGAAGAGUAGCCCCCGCUCGCCACAAGUAGAGAAAGCCCACGUGCAGCAACGAAGACCCAACACAGCCAAAAAUAAAUAAAUAAAAUAAAUUAAUUAAAA
Molecule: long non-coding RNA, 689 nt
Organism: Balaenoptera ricei (Rice's whale)
Lineage: Eukaryota; Metazoa; Chordata; Mammalia; Artiodactyla; Balaenopteridae
Exons: 3
Source: RefSeq, a predicted model, not a curated record